GGCCUCGUAGCUCAACUUGCAGAGCUUGCGCCUACAAAGCGUAGGCGGCGUCCAUGCGUGGGUUUGAAUCCUACCGAUGCUA
This 82-nucleotide transfer RNA is filed under the name Echinostoma caproni. It matches the Rfam family "tRNA". From Rfam's summary of the family: Transfer RNA (tRNA) molecules are approximately 80 nucleotides in length. Their secondary structure includes four short double-helical elements and three loops (D, anti-codon, and T loops). Lineage: Eukaryota; Metazoa; Platyhelminthes; Trematoda; Plagiorchiida; Echinostomatidae. The record is from Rfam by way of RNAcentral.